This 497-nucleotide ribosomal RNA is filed under the name uncultured bacterium. RNAcentral describes it as "partial 16S ribosomal RNA". It matches the Rfam family "Bacterial small subunit ribosomal RNA", at positions 28 to 507 of the family's 1533-position model. The record is from RNAcentral.
GAUGAACGCUGGCGGCGUGCCUAAUACAUGCAAGUCGAGCGAACAGACGAGGAGCUUGCUCCUCUGACGUUAGCGGCGGACGGGUGAGUAACACGUGGAUAACCUACCUAUAAGACUGGGAUAACUUCGGGAAACCGGAGCUAAUACCGGAUAAUAUAUUGAACCGCAUGGUUCAAUAGUGAAAGACGGUUUUGCUGUCACUUAUAGAUGGAUCCGCGCCGCAUUAGCUAGUUGGUAAGGUAACGGCUUACCAAGGCGACGAUGCGUAGCCGACCUGAGAGGGUGAUCGCCCACACUGGAACUGAGACACGGUCCAGACUCCUACGGGAGGCCGCAGUAGGGAAUCUUCCGCAAUGGGCGAAAGCCUGACGGAGCAACGCCGCGUGAGUGAUGAAGGUCUUCGGAUCGUAAAACUCUGUUAUUAGGGAAGAACAAAUGUGUAAGUAACUAUGCACGUCUUGACGGUACCUAAUCAGAAAGCCCCGGCUAACUACGUG